AGCCCCUUGCAGAGCAAAGGGCUGUCGGCUAUUGACUGACUUUUCGAAGUGUGCUCCUAUUUCUCUUAACUGCUUGGUCUUGAAUAAUGGGCAGGCCUGCCUUGGGCCCAGGGACCACAGAGAUGGCUGAUAAUUAAACAGUCUGCCUGUGUCUUGUCAGAUGCCAAGAAGGCAUCCUUGGAUUUGGGAAGUCUGUCAGGUGACACUUGAGCAUACAAAGAAAUGGAGCAAAUAACUUUUCUGGUGUGUAUAGUUUCAUUUGAUUCCCUGUGCUUGAAGAAAUGAAUCAUUAUUUUUCUUCAGAAGAAGGAACAAAAACUGAUGAAGAGCCAAGCAGGGGUGCUUCCUUGGUAAUGAAGUCCUCCUUUUGUGUUUUGUAGAGGAGUUUUAUUUCCAAAUACCCAUUCCGCAAAAGCUUCAAAAGGCCCCAUCUUCUAACAAUGCGGUGUCCUCAUUGAAGCUGACCUGCCAUGGACCUCUAUUUACCAAAUAUAAAGAUGCUAAUUGUUUCAUGUAUAGGCCUUAACGUGAUUACAGCGGGCAUGGACACUGUUUGUUGUUAUAGCAAUCUGAAUUGAAUUAUCCUUGUGCCAGCAUAAUUAGAAUCACCCCCCAAGUUUAGCGGGCUGGUGUCUUAGCGUGGCAUCACAGCAGCUUGAUACAAACAGUGGCAAUAUCACUCUGAUGCUGGCGACAGCAUACAGGCCCAAUGCUUAAAAACAUGAAAUUUCUUUAAGAAUCGUGAGUGGGAAGUGCUGGUUUUUACGUAAACCCCAGAGAUGGCUUUCCAGUGAGUGUUAUAAGCGCUCAUAAAAAAUAGCAACAGGAGUUAUAAAAAGGAAACUUCCACCAGGCCUUCCUUACUGGACAAAUGCCGUUGCACAGGGGAAACAAUUGUCGUAUUCAAGCCCCUCAACACAGACAUGGCAACAGAGUUUGUGAGCCAUGGCCAGGCUGCCUGGUGGCUGGCACAGUGCUGCGCCUUGGGGAUGGGAGGUGUCCCACUGGUAUCCCCAUUCCCCAGGGCAUUUUGGGAAAAGCAGAUCUGUCAGGGUGGCUGGGCCUGCUGUGCUAGGUUGCCAGCACUGCCCAGGCCUGGUUCCUCCACCACGUCCCAGCCAUGUCCCAGAGACGCUUUUCCCAAGGUCAUUUAAGCGUGACCCACAAAAGCAGCGUGUUGCGUCAGAAAGGACAGAUGCCAGGCCACCCUCAGCAAAAAGCUCUGAGCUACCCCAGCUGCUCAGUCAUCCACAUCAGCAGUCUGACAGUGCUGCUGAGGUGGGUUGGCCUUGGAGGGAUGUCAGGUGCCCACCACGCUGCUCCUUCUCCUCAGCAAGGUGGGGAGAAAAAGUUAUGAUAAGGACAGGGAGAUCUCUCACGACUUACCACCACAGGCAAAACAGACUCAGCUUUUGGAGGAUUUAUUGAAUUUAUUGCCAACUAGUAACAGAGUUGGACAGUGAAAACCAAAAACAAAGAUAAAAAUACCUUUUCCCCAUCACCUUUCUUCCCAGGCUUGACUUUAUUCCUGACCCUUCACCCUCCUCCCUCCGAGGAGUGCAGGGGAACAGGGAAUGCUUUGACUCUGCCACUCCUUCAUGGCCUCUCUCUGCCCCUGCUCCACGUGGAUCCCUCUCACAGGAUGCCAUCCUUCCCGAACCGAUCCCAGUGGGCUUCCCACAGGCUGCAGCUCUCCCAGCAUUGCCCAACGCGGCUCUGUACCACACGACCCAACUGUCAAGCACUGCUCCACACAGGUCCCCACAUGCAGCAGCUCCUCCAGCCCUCCUGCCCCACCACAAGCUGCUCUCUACGUACUGCAGCUCCAGGCCAAGGUGCAGCUGCGGCGGCUCUCCAUGGGCAUUGGCCUCCUCCAGGCCCCAUCCACCACCUCACCACUGGCUCCUCUGUGGCUGCAUAUGGAGAUGUGCCCUGUGUAGUCCCUCUGGGCUGCAGGGGGACAGCCUGCUCCUCUGUGGGCCUCUCCUGGGCUGCAGUCUCUUUCUUCAAUCUACUUUCCCAGAAACACCCAGCAUGCUCAUGGCUCUGACAUGGGGCAGAUGCUGGGCUCUGCUCACACAGACCAGCCCUGCAGCCCCUUGCUACCAAUACCUUGUCAUGUGAACAGUUCAUACCUACACCUCUAACCAACUGGAGCCAUAAACUCCUUUCUCUUGCUAUCCUUUCCUUGGGGAUGCAAAGAGGUUCAGCUUUCCUGGCUGGACCAGAGCAGCAGAAGCAUGUUGAUUCUCGAGCAAUGCCAGAAAUGGGGGCAGCAAUGCACUUGCUCCAUUCACUCACUCGUGAUAUGCAGACAGCUUGGCUCCGCUCUGCCCUGCCUGUGAAGCUGUCCUCCCCGGGGACUGCUCAGAGGGCACCUCCACCAGCAGGUGUCAAGCAAGUGCGUCACCCCUAUCCUGCAAUGAGACACCUACAUUGCCUACAGGUGUUCUUAUUUUUGGCUCUGUAGCUGUGGCUUUGCAACUGUCUUUUUGUCUCUGUUUGGGAGGUAAUGCUGCACUACCUGUAGCCUUAUUACACAGUGAUGUUUUGGGAAGAGACAGAGAAGGUGAAGGAGUAUAUUCAGCUUAAUUUCUGCUGGUUUGAAGGAAAUUCUAUUGGAAGCUUCCUGAGCACCAGGCAGCGUGUGCACAGACUGGAGGUCCCAAAGGAGAUGUGCCUGCUUGCUGCUCAUGGCUGGUUGUGCUUCAGGAAAGCUGUCCCUGAGGACAGGAGCAAGGAGGGCAUCCCUGCCGCAGAGCCCCACACCAGCUCCUACUCACCAGCAGCAAGACCUAGGGCAUCCCUGACAGGUGAUGGCAGGGAUGGGCAGAGAGUAACACGUGGCACAAAGCGCUCUGAAGCAUAGCAAUGCCCAAUGCAGCCAGGAGGGAAAAGGUGUUUGUUUUUCACAGGAACUCCUGCAUGAAUAACUCAGGCACGUGGUCCACCUUCCAAAAAAAAGAUGUUAGUCCAUCAGAGGUGCUAUUCUCUUGGAGGCAGCAGCAAAGCAAGUGUUGCAUUUAAAGCCUGGGUGGUCAGUAUGACAGGAGCCUCACCAUAGCAGAAAAUCACUCUGUCAAAUACUUAAAGGGAUGCUUAGCUUCCAGAAACACACAGUGGAGCAAAAUGAACUGAAAUCCAGGCAAAUGCAUGGUAGCCAGUGGGAUGACUCAUGCGUUUUGAAUUAUGCAGGUGCUUAAGGAAUUUGUGUAACUAGAGAUUGUAGUUUGUUUUUAUUUGCAGCACUUUGCAUGAUUUGAUUUUCUUUAUAUAUAUUGUGACAUCAGAAGCAAGAAAUAGGGUUAAUUCUACUGUGCAUGGGGGAACUGCACAUCUAGUGCAGACUUUCCAGAAACUCACUUGGAGAUUUUCUGAAUAUAUGACCAUUUAGCCAGGGCUGAUAUUCUCUGGGAUCAUGCAAAUCCACUAACGCAAAACAGCCUGGGAAGGAAUCAAUUCACAGGGAAAUGCCCACACAGCAGAGAUCACUGAUCUAAAUGGUCUAAGAUUGCUUCAAAACUGCAAAAUGCUGCAGAACAACAGAGCUACAAAUACAGCUAGGUGAGUAUCAGGGAGGGAGUAAGGUUGUCGCUAUAUUCCACCCCCUCACAAACAGUAAAAUGGAUGAGAAAACAGUGCCUGAAAGACUAAUAUUUACAAUCAUAUAUUUACAUCAUACAAUUGCCACAUAAUUGCCAGUAUUAACUGACCCAAGAAUCAAAUACUGUAGUGAGGAAAUCACUAAUAUUUGCAAUUAGCUGUGUCGAGGUGGGUUAGGUAUGCUUAAUCAAGUCUCUUCUCAAAAGUAACCAGCUGGUUGGUGGUGGGAGUAGUGGUGGGAUAGUGCCAGCAGGAUAAUGCUCAAGGGUCAGAUUCACAUCCUGUUUGACUGCAGUUUUUGUUGAAAAAUGAGUUGGAAGAAGCCUUUUAUUGGAAACGGGAUCAUAGCAUGAUGCAUUCAUGCAUUCAGCUGUCAGUAAAUGUCCUCUUCCAUCCCGCUCUGUCUGCUUCUCUCAGGAGAUCAGUCCCUGUUCUGCUACAGGACACACCCAUCGCCGGCUGGAGCAUCAGACCUGCUCCAGGAGGAUGCCCAUCCAUUACACAGAGAAAGCCUAUGUGUCCUAGGAGAUCCUCAGCAACACCAACAAAACUGAUUUUGCCCCUGUAUGGUAUGAUGAGACCAACUCUGAUGGCUUCCAGCACCCUGUGUUGGUGGUUUAUUCUCCUUGCAGUGCAAGGAAGGCUCCUCCUGGGCCCCAGCAGGCCCACCACUGAGAUUGCCUUCUCUGGACAAUGGUCUCCAGGCAGUGCCAACUUUUGGAAGGAGUCAGCCUUGAUGUACUGCCUAGCCUCCUGCUGACGAGCAGAGGGGAGAUGGAAUGAUGCACAUUGUGGGGCUGGUUUGACAGUGCCCACAGCUUUGAGGCAACACCCCAGAUUCCUGCAGCACUAUGGAUGUCAAGCAGCCAAAGCCAGUCCAGUACUCCAAAAGCAGGACCCAGACAACGCAUGGAUAUCCCACCCACGCAUCGCUGUUUUGCUCCUGCCACUGUGCAGAGGCAGCUGUGCAGCAGAGCUGACACGCCGCCCAACAGAAAGCAGAGGGCAUUCGUUCUCUUUAGAUGUAUGCAAAUGCUUAGGUGCCUAACACCUUCCUUGCACGGAAGAAGAAAUAAACACAUGCAGUCACAAAAAGUA
This is a long non-coding RNA of Numida meleagris (helmeted guineafowl), 4701 nucleotides long. RefSeq lists it as uncharacterized. The transcript has 2 exons. The record is from RefSeq and is a predicted model, not a curated record. Lineage: Eukaryota; Metazoa; Chordata; Aves; Galliformes; Numididae.